AGUGAACGCUGGCGGUAGGCCUAACACAUGCAAGUCGAACGGCAGCACAGUAAGAGCUUGCUCUUACGGGUGGCGAGUGGCGGACGGGUGAGGAAUACAUCGGAAUCUACUUUUUCGUGGGGGGUAACGGAGGGGAAACUACCGUUAUACCGCAUACCGCCUUCCGGUUGAAGCCAGGGAACCUCCGACCUUGCCCCGAUGAAUUGAGCGGAUGUCGGAUUAGCUAGUUGGCGGGGUAAAGGCCCACCAAGGCGACGAUCCGUAGCUGGUCUGAGAGGAUGAUCAGCCACACUGGAACUGAGACACGGUCCAGACUCCUACGGGAGGCAGCAGUGGGGAAUAUUGGACAAUGGGCGCAAGCCUGAUCCAGCCAUACCGCGUGGGUGAAGAAGGCCUUCGGGUUGUAAAGCCCUUUUGUUGGGAAAGAAAAGCAGCAGGUUAAUACCCCGCUGUUCUGACGGUACCCAAAGAAUAAGCACCGGCUAACUUCGUG
RNAcentral lists this ribosomal RNA (493 nucleotides) under uncultured bacterium. RNAcentral's name for it is "partial 16S ribosomal RNA". It matches the Rfam family "Bacterial small subunit ribosomal RNA", at positions 29 to 507 of the family's 1533-position model. The record is from RNAcentral.